UACGUAGGGUGCAAGCGUUGUCCGGAAUUAUUGGGCGUAAAGAGCUUGUAGGCGGUUUGUCGCGUCUGCUGUGAAAUUCCAGGGCUUAACCCUGGGCUUGCAGUGGGUACGGGCAGACUAGAGUGUGGUAGGGGAGACUGGAAUUCCUGGUGUAGCGGUGAAAUGCGCAGAUAUCAGGAGGAACACCGGUGGCGAAGGCGGGUCUCUGGGCCGAAAACUGACGCUGAGGAGCGAAAGCGUGGGGAGCGAACAGG
RNAcentral lists this ribosomal RNA (254 nucleotides) under uncultured bacterium. Its description in RNAcentral is "partial 16S ribosomal RNA". It matches the Rfam family "Bacterial small subunit ribosomal RNA", at positions 524 to 776 of the family's 1533-position model. The record is from RNAcentral.